RNAcentral lists this ribosomal RNA (679 nucleotides) under uncultured crenarchaeote. RNAcentral's name for it is "bacterial SSU rRNA". It matches the Rfam family "Archaeal small subunit ribosomal RNA", at positions 102 to 783 of the family's 1478-position model. The record is from RNAcentral. Lineage: Archaea; Thermoproteati; Thermoproteota.
AGUCAACCUAACUCGUGGACGUGGAUAACCUCGGGAAACUGAGAAUAAACCACGAUAGAUCAUAGUGCCUGGAAUGGCUUAUGGUCCAAACAGUUUACUGCCAUGGGAUGGGACUGCGGCCUAUCAGCUUGUUGGUGAGGUAAUGGCCCACCAAGGCGAUUACAGGUACGGGCUCUGAGAGGAGAAGCCCGGAGAUGGGUACUGAGACACGGACCCAGGCCCUAUGGGGCGCAGCAGGCGAGAAACCUUAGCAAUGUGCGAAAGCACGACUGGGUCAGUCCGAGUGAUUCCUGAUAAAGGAGUCUUUUGCCUGUCCUAAAAGCACAGGUGAAUAAGGGGUGGGCAAGUCUGGUGUCAGCCGCCGCGGUAAUACCAGCACCUCGAGUGGUCAGGACGUUUAUUGGGCCUAAAGCAUCCGUAGCCGGCUUUGCAAGUCUUCGGUUAAAUCCACCUGCUCAACAGAUGGGCCGCUGGAGAUACUACAGAGCUAGGGAGUGGGAGAGGCAGACGGUAUUCAGUGGGUAGGGGUAAAAUCCUCUGAUCCAUUGAGGACCACCAGUGGCGAAGGCGGUCUGCCAGAACACGUUCGACGGUGAGGGAUGAAAGCUGGGGGAGCAAACCGGAUUAGAUACCCGGGUAGUCCCAGCUGUAAACGAUGCAAACUCGGUGAUGCAUUGGC